Long non-coding RNA from Mastomys coucha (southern multimammate mouse), 134 nucleotides. RefSeq lists it as uncharacterized. The transcript has 3 exons. The record is from RefSeq and is a predicted model, not a curated record. NCBI's taxonomy places the organism in Eukaryota, Metazoa, Chordata, Mammalia, Rodentia, Muridae.
AUUUCACCAGAUAGCUAUAACAUCAUAAAGACAAAAGUCCUUUGAACACGCUGCAGCUGCUGAUCCCCUCAACCUCGAGAAACAAUUUGGUGGCCCUCUAACAGAAGACUAAGGGUGGUUCAAGCCUAUAAUCC